Molecule: ribosomal RNA, 124 nt
Filed under: Dasypus novemcinctus (nine-banded armadillo)
Lineage: Eukaryota; Metazoa; Chordata; Mammalia; Cingulata; Dasypodidae
Source: RNAcentral
GUUUACAACCAUACAAGCCUGAACAUGUCUGAUCACAUCUGAUCUCAGAAGCUAAGCAUGAUUGGCCUUAGUUAGUACUUGAAUGGAAGACUGUAGAAUGUUUUAAAUUCAGGUAGUGUGAUCC